This is a long non-coding RNA of Solea senegalensis (Senegalese sole), 88 nucleotides long. RefSeq lists it as uncharacterized. The record is from RefSeq and is a predicted model, not a curated record. NCBI's taxonomy places the organism in Eukaryota, Metazoa, Chordata, Actinopteri, Pleuronectiformes, Soleidae. The transcript is spliced from 2 exons.
GCAAAUCGAACUAACAGUGAGUUUAGAGAUGCAACACAAACCAGGUGGAAAUGUGUCCAAUCAUUUUCUAUCUUGUUGAGUAAAGAGG